This 253-nucleotide ribosomal RNA is filed under the name uncultured bacterium. Its description in RNAcentral is "partial 16S ribosomal RNA". It matches the Rfam family "Bacterial small subunit ribosomal RNA", at positions 524 to 776 of the family's 1533-position model. The record is from RNAcentral.
UACGGGGGGGGCAAGCGUUGUUCGGAAUUACUGGGCGUAAAGGGCUUGUAGGCGGCCAACUAAGUCCGACGUGAAAUCCCCAGGCUUAACCUGGGAACUGCGUCGGAUACUGGAUGGCUUGAAUUCGGGAGAGGGAUGCAGAAUUCCAGGUGUAGCGGUGAAAUGCGUAGAUAUCUGGAGGAACACCGGUGGCGAAGGCGGCAUCCUGGACCGGCAUUGACGCUGAGGCGCGAAAGCGUGGGGAGCGAACAGG